AGUGGCAUCGUUAGAUUCAGCUUAUGGACAGGUGUAUCACGUACUGCACGCGCGUGCCGUAAAGGACCGAAGUCAGCCGACCCCGAUCCCCGACUCACACGGUACGCGCUUCUCCUCCUCGCUUGCCGCCGCCGCCGCCGCCGCGAUGGAAAAGGAGAAGCUCUCGUUCUCCAUAUCCUCCUCGAAGCAGCGGCCCCCCAAGCCUCCCGCACGACCUGCGGCCGCCGCAGACGACGAUGACCUCCGCUCCGCGCCCGCUCCGGGCCAGCAGUACGUCACCGAGUUCGAUCCGUCCCAAACCCUAGCCGCCGCCUGCGCGGCGCGCGCCGUCAUCGCGCCGCUCCCCAACUCCGGCAACUUCCUCACCCACCGCCCACGCAAACCGUCCUCGCUCCCCACCCCUGAGGAGGAGGCCGCCCUCGCCGCGGAAUCCGGCGGCUGGGGCCCCGCCUUCGUCCUCGACACCUCGACCGCUCCCGAAGACCCAUCAUCCAAAAUCGGCUACGGCCUCACUCGCCGCAACGGCGCCAUCGACGCUGCUGCUGCCAAGGAACCGGAGAAGGCGCCGCCACCGUCACCGUCACCGCCUCGGGCCACUGAUGCUGCCUCCGCUGCCGGCAACCUCAUGCUGCAGCGGUACAAGGAGGACAUGGAAGGCCUUCCGGAGCACCGUGGAAUGGACGAGUUCAAUGAGAUACCCGUGGAGGGAUUUGGCGCGGCUCUCCUUGCUGGAUACGGCUGGACAGAAGGUAAGGGCAUUGGUAGGAACAAUAAGAUGGGGGAUACCAAAGUUCUUGAAUACCACCGCCGUGCUGGCACACAGGGGUUAGGGUACAACCCCUCUGAAGCAGACCCUAGGAAGACUCGUUCUGGCGACUGGAUUGUUGGCAAGAAGGUGUCAGAGGGCGGGAGUGCGAAGAGAGAUCGAGGCAGUAGAGAUAGGAUGGAAGAGAGCGAUUCUAGUGCCCAGAAGAAGAGAUAUAAUGAGGAAAGGUCUGAGAAGGAGGGCCGUGAAAAGGUGAGGAAUGGCCGUGGUAGCCGAGAAGGCACAAGUAAUGCAAGCGGUACUCAUAGCAAUGUACUGUGGUUGCAGAGCCAUAUCAGGGUUCGGAUUGUUAGUCAGAAACUAAGCAAGAGGCUAUACUUGAUGAAGGGUAAGGUUGUCGAUGUGGUGGGGCCUACAAAAUGUGACAUCAUGAUGGAUGAUGGAUCAGAGUUGGUGCAGGGGGUGGAGCAAGAUAUGCUUGAAACUGUACUUCCACGGACGAAUGGGCGGGUGCUUGUGCUUUAUGGGAAGCACAAGGGUUUAUAUGGGCACCUGGUAGAGAAGAAUUCCAAAGAAGAGAUCGGAUUGGUGGAGGAUGCAGAUACAAAAGAUAUUGUACGUGUUAGAUAUGAUCAGAUGGCAGAAUACACUGGAGAUCCAGAGUUGCUUGGCUACUGAUUAAGUUUUUUUGGGGGAGGAUAUGCUUACCGGGAGCCUUCUGCUAUGCUUGGUAUUAUAUUUUUCUUCUUUACAAACUGUCAAGAAUUGCUGCAAUGUAAAACCUUGAACAAACUGGCGGUUGCUAUGCAUUUCUUACUUGUCUUUGUAAGCUUGCUACUUAUUUGUCAGCCCUCAAGUUAGUAAUCAUCUAGGAGUGACCACUAAUGUUGGAGUGGGGCUCUUUUGAUAAACAGUGGAAUGUUUCUGAGCGUAACUGUUUGUUUCUUUGUACGCGAAAGAAGCUGUAGUUUUGUGUUCUAUUAACUUCAUGUCGACCGAUGUUAUUUUGUUCUCUCUUGCUUCCUUUCUUGAGUUCUUAUAAAUUGAAGAGGGCUUCUUGAAUGACUUAGUGGAAUACUUGCCAUCUUGUUUUUCUGAACUUUGUUUAUUGUCCUGUGAUUGUCACUAUCUAUAACUAAUGUUCACUGAAAUGCAUCAAAAUCAUGCAUCUAUAUUAAUUUAUGCUCACAUCAGAAAAUUAGGGAUUGCUUUCAUAAUAUCUCAAACUUGUGGGGAGAGUAAAGGAGGGAAACAACUUAAUGUGGAAAAUGGAUUGACCUUUAAUUCUCGUAUUAUUCACCAAACUGUUGAUAUUAAUUCACGUCUAUAUUUGAUAACUUCAUCGUUAAUUUUGGUGCUCUUUUUUAAUAUUGUGAAACUUCCUAUUUGGUUAGAUAUUAGUCUGUGUGGCAUGUUCAUUUACCUUUUGUUUUCACACAAUAUUCUGGUUCAGGGAGCUAAAUUUAAGGGUUAGUAGAAUCCUAUGUUUUCUGGUCGCUCGACCAGCUAGUCGGACUGGGGGAACGACCAGGCGACUAAUCUCAAUUAGUCGUCGACUAGGUCGACUAAUCGAUCUCUGGUCGACCUGGUCGUUUACUAGUCGUCCUGUUCAUCCAGGAGACCAGGACCUAUGUAUAUAGUAUAUACUAUAUAAUAUAUACUAUUAUACUAUAUAGUAUACGUGAGAAUGUCUGCAGUUACAGAAACCCUAGCUACAGUGCGGCUACAGUACUAGUGUUCUAAUGGGCCAGGCCCAUGUACAUAUAUCUGUAAUACCCCCCCGGCAGUCGAAACUCUAGCCACUGCAGAUGUUGAGACUGGACCGAAACUCUGCAAACACCGCGGACGGAAGCCCUUUGGUGAAGACGUCGGCGAACUGGGAGGCGGCCGGGACGUGGAGGACGCGAACAUCUCCACAGGCGACCCUCUCGCGGACAAAGUGAAGAUCGAUCUCGACAUGCUUCGUGCGCUGGUGUUGGACAGGGUUGGUGGAGAGGUAGACGGCGCUGACGUUGUCGCAGAAGACGAGUGUGCUCCGUGCUAGCGGACUGUGGAGCUCUUGGAGCAGCUGACGGAGCCAAGUUGCCUCAGCCACGCCGUUUGCCACGGCGCGGUACUCGGCGCUGGAGCAGGAGACGAUCGGCUGGCGCUUCGAUGACCAGGAGACGAGGCUGUCCCCUAGGAAGACGUCAUAGCCCGAGGUGGACCAAAGCGUGUCUGGACAGCCCGCCCAGUCGGCAUCGGUGUAGACGCGAAGCUCCGUGGUCGGGGAGCGGCGGAGAAGGAGCCCAAAGUCGAUGGUGCCACGCAAGUACCGCAGGACGCGCUUCAGCGCGUUGAGGUGCGGCUCUCGAGGGUCGUGCAUGUGAAGGCACACUUGCUGGACGACGUAAGCGAUAUCGGGCCGAGUGAAGAUGAGGUACUGCAGGGCUCCAGCAAGGCUGCGGUAGCCGGUUGGAUCAGCGACGGGGGGCCUGCGGCAGAGACCUUGCCCUGGGUGUCCACUGGGGUCACGUAGGGCUUGCACUCGGCCAUGCCAACGCGCCCGAGGAGGUCGACGGUGUAUUGUCGUUGGUGAAGGAACAUGCCCUGGGGCCUGCGCUCGACGGUGACCCCUAGGAAGUGGUGGAGGGCCCCGAGGUCCUUCAUCGCAAACUCCUGCUGGAGGCAGGAGACGAUGUGACGCAGGAGCCCAGGGGAGGAGGCGGUGAGCACGAUAUCGUCGACGUAGAGGAGGAGGUACGCAGUGUCCGGACCGUGACGGAGGAUGAAUAGGGACGUGUCCGACUUGGCCUCGACGAAACCCUACGAACACAAGAAAGUGGCGAAGCGACUGUACCAAGCCCGGGGGGCCUGCUUGAGGCCGUAGAGGGACUUGUUGAGCUUGCAGACCAUGUCGGGGUGAGCAGGGUCGACAAACCCAACGGGCUGAGUGCAGUAGACCGUCUCCGUCAGGGUGCCGUGGAGGAAGGCGUUCGCCACGUCGAGUUGGUGGACCGACCAGUCCCUGGACAGAGCCAGAACAGUCCGGAUGGUGGCAGGCUUGACCACCGGACUGAAGGUCUCGUCGUAGUCGACCCCGGGGCGCUGGGUGAAGCCCCGGAGCACAUAGCGGGCUUUGUACCGCUCCAGGGACCCGUCGCCGUUCAACUUCAGCUUGAAGAUCCACUUCUCGGUGACCACGUUGGCGUCGAGGGGAGGGGGCACCAGGUCCCAGACGUGGUUAGCCUGGAGAGCCGCGUACUCCGCUUCCAUGGCACGUCGCCACUGGGGGUCGGCAAGCGCACCACAGACAGUCGUGGGCACCGGCGGAAGAGCCGGAGAAGAGGCCGCGGAGAGAAUCAGGCGAUUAGGUGCCUGGAGGACACCUGCCGCGCGCCGGGUGACCAUCGGGUGGAUGUGUCGAGGAUCUCGGUGGGACAGUCGUGGGCACCGACGGAAGAGCCGGAGAAGAGGCCGCGGAGAGAAUCAGGCGAUCAGGUGCCCGGAGGACACUUGCCGCGCGCCGGGUGACCAUCGGGUGCAUGUGUCGAGGAUCCCGGUGGACGACGACGGGGUGAUAGGCCCGGGGCUCGGCGCGAGAGCGAGCCGGGGCACCACGUCGACCACGGCGCUGGUACGUCUGGAUGGGGUCGGUGUAGCGAGACGACGGGGCAGUGUGCGUUGGUGCGGGAGGCACCGGGGCUGUGCGGGGGACGGCGGGGCCGCGCGAGGCGACGGAGGGGACGUUGGCUGUGCGAGGGAGGUCAGCGCUGGUGGGGCCGCGCAGGGCGACUCAGGAGGCGUCGAGGCCGCACGUGGCUGUGCGGGGGAGGGCGUCACAAGCGGGGCCUCACGAGGCGGAGCAGUGGACGGACCUGCAGGGAAGGGAGGCACGACAGUGGGGGACACAGAGUCGGGGUCGAGGAACACGUCGAGCUCGGUGAGAGAGGCUGCGGGAGAGGACGAAAAGGGGAAAUCCGACUCGUCGAAAACGACGUGACGAGAGAUGAGGACUCUGUGGGAGGUGAGGUCGAGGCAUCGAUACCCCUUAUGGUCGGGGGAGUAUCCGAGGAAGACGCAGCGAGUGGAGCGGGGGGCUAGUUUAUGAGGAGCAGUGGAUGCGAGAUUAGGGUAGCAAGCGCACCCGAAAACGCGAAGAUGGUUAUAUGAGGGGUGGAUGUCGAAAAGAGCGAAGUAAGGAGUGGGGGUGGGCAACCGCCUUGGUGGGAAGACGGUUGAGGAGGUAGGUGGCAGUGGCGAGGGCCUCAGCCCAGUAGUGAGCAGGAAGGGAAGCCUGAAAGAGUAGAGAGCGCACGACAUCGUUUGUCGUGCGAAUCAUACGUUCAGCCCUGCCGUUUUGAGGAGACGUGUAGGGGCAUGACAUGCGGAGGUGGAUGCCGCGAGAGAGGAAGAAGUCACGGGACGCAUUGUUAUAGAACUUGCGCCCGUUGUCACACUGGAUGCUUCGGAUGGUGCGACCAAAUUGAGUAGAGACCCAGGCAAAGAAGUGAGACAGGGUGGGAAAAGUGUCCGACUUCUGACGUAAAGGAAAAGUCCACAAAUAAUGCGAGAAGUCAUCGAGAAUGAGUAAAUAAUACUUAUAGCCAGAAAUGCUGAUUACAGGGGAUGUCCAUACAUCACAGUGUAUCAGAUCAAAAAUGCCUGCUGCUCUAGAGGAGGUGGGGAAUGGGAGCCUAACAUGGCGACCUAACUUACAAGCAUGACAGAGGUGCUCAAUAGAUCCCCUACAACCAGAAACAUAAGUACUACUGGAGAGCUUGGACAUCACAUCACGCCCGGGGUGGCCGAGACGACGAUGCCAAGUCGCAGAAGAGGCGGCCGCUGCAAGAACAUGUGGGGCUGAGGUCGAAGUAGUGGGAGCAGGCAGGCGAAGCGUGUAGAGGGGCUCGGGGCUGUCACACCGAGCGAGAAGAGUCCUGGUGGCAAGAUCCUUCACAGAAAGACCAAACGGGUCAAACUCCAUGGAACAAGAGUUGUCAGUAGUAAAUUGACGUACGAAAAGAAGAUUUUGAAUGAUGUGGGGGGCAACAAGAACGUUGGUUAAGCGGAAAGGACCGGGGAGGACCGCGUCACCUACUGAGGUGACGGGAAGGGCGGACUCGUUUCCGACAAUGAUGGAAGAGGGAAGAGAGGGGUGGGCGGGGGAGGUGGAAGAUAGAAUACCUGCCGAGGCUGGGGAGGAGCCAAGGGUGCCGCCGGGGGUGCAGAGGCAAAGAAGACCUGCUGAGAGGCGGUGGGGCGAGGGGCCGAGGCACCCGCGGACAGCCCGGGCCACAUGUGAAUGGUGCUAGUCCACGGGUUGUAGAAGGAUGGCCACUGAGAGCCACCCGAGGAGCCACCACGGCCUCCCGACAGGCCACCGCCACUGCGUCCGCCCUUGCGACCACAGCCGCGUUCGCGGCUGCGAGCGCCCCCGAAGCCAGUAGUCUGUCGCGGAGCUCCAGAGGGCAGCGGGGCCGGAGUGCGGGGAGCAGGACCCCCCCGGAGUCGGAGGGGGCAGCCCGAGGUGCGCUGUAGAGGGCCGUGGCGGGAGCGGUGGUCGCAGCGGCGGAGAGGCGAAGCUCCUCGAGAAGCAGAUCGUUCUUAGCCUCCGCAAAGGUGGGAAAUGGCUUCAUGCGGGUGAGGAUGGGGGCCACGCGAUCGAAGCGAGGACUCAGACCACAGAGGAGGUUGAGCACGAGGCUCUCAUCGGUCAUGGGGGCCCCGAGGGUGCGGAGAGUGUCCGCCAUCGUCUUCAUCUGACGGUAGUACUCAUCCACAGAGAGAUCGCCCUGAACAAGCUGGCGGAAGGCGGUCUCUAGGUACAGGAUCCGAGUCUGGCGGUUGUCGAGGAACUGAGCCUCAGGGGCACCCCAGAUAUGGUGAGCAGUAUCGUCCGGCACGCGAACGAUGUCCUGAAGUUUGGCCGUGAGGGUGCCAUGGAUCCAAGAGAGCACCACUUCGUCCAUCAGGAGCCAAUCCUCCGUCGGUGCAGCGACCGUGGGGAGGACGUGGUCGGCAAGGGCGUAGCGGCGGAGGGUCUGCAGGACCUGGUCGCGCCACCGAGGAUACUGAGUGGAGUCCGACGUGAGAACGUCGGUGACGGUUGCUCGGAUGCUGGUGAGGGCCGCCGCUUGGGCGUGAAGAGAGGCGCGAAGGGUCAAGGCUGGGACGGGCGCGGGCUCGAAAGUGUCGGCGCUGUGACGAGCGGACAUAGGAGAACCAUCCGAGACACCCUUGCUAGCGAGGCGACGGUAGGUCUCGGCGUACUGGCGCUCGAUGGCGUCGACAACCGCCUGUUCCUGCUCAAGGGCACGAGCGGCGUCCUGGGCCCGCUGGCGAGCCGCCGCAACAGCAGCACGGGUUGCAGCGAGGAUGGUUGCAGCGUCAUCCGAAGGGGAAGGAGCACACAUUGUAGAGGUGAUAGCGGACGGCUGGCUGUAGACCGCCGUGCCAAUGGUGCCACCGGGAAAAACCAGGGGCAACAGCAGGGCGUCGUCGUGGCCGAGCACGGUGGUCUGGGACGCGCGAAGAAGGGAGAUCGACGCGGGACAGGCACCGGCAAAGCCGGACCCGGCCGGACCCGGCAGCGGCGCAGGCGAAGGAAGCGCCGGCGGCGCAGGGGGCGCGGGAGGAGGUGCAGCGGGGUCGGGGGCGGGCAGGCCUGGCGGCAGAGGUGUGGCCGACGCGGGCUGUGCGCCGGCGGGGCCGGAGCCGCUGGAGGGCGGUGGCGGCGCGGGGCUCCCGGCCAUGAGGGCCAGCCCGGCGGGUGGUGGCGCGGCCGACGCGGGCCCGCCGGAUCCGGCGGAGGGAGGCGGCGGCGCGGGAUGUCCGGCCAUGGGGGCCGGCGGCGCGGGGUGCCUGACCAGAGUCGCGCCGCGCUCGGGAGGAGAGGGCGCGGCCAACGCAGCCCUGUAGGAGAGAGGGAGAGGAGGGAAGAGCUCGCCGGAGGAGGGGAGAGAGGGCCGGCCAGCCAUGGGACAGCGGCGGCUGGAACAGUCAAGGCUCUGGUACCAUGUGAGAAUGUCUGCAGUUACAGAAACCCUAGCUACAGUACUAGUGUCCUAAUGGGCCAGGCCCAUGUACAUAUAUCUGUAACAGUAUAUAAUUAUAUAACUAUAUAAUAUAUAUGAAGGAUAGGGUAAACAUGACAUGAAUUCAGCAAUACUGAAAACAGCAAAGAAACAAUUACUAGUUACUAAUACUACCAGUCCCAGAUACCACACAACACCCAUUACCACCCAGUUACCUAAAGAAGAUCUUCAUCCAACUGAAAUUCAUCACCUGCAGCUCCCCUUCCACCUGAUUCUUGUUCGCCUUCAUCUUCAUCAUCAUUCAUUUGUCUUGCUGUCUCUUGUUCUUGUUCAUCUUCAGCAGGAGAAUUGUCAUCUUCUUCACGUAUGUCUUGAGCUGUAGCUGUUGCAUUUCUGGGUCGUUUUCUGGUUCUAACAUAGGUUUGUGUCUGAGUUUGAGAGGAGGAACCAGCAGCAGCAGUCCUAGGCAAAUUUUGACCCCGAAGACCCUGAGUUGCACCUAGAGCUUCAUCCACAACAUCCCAAAUGUUAUCACCAUCAGAUUCUUCUUCAACCCAUUAAUUUUGCCACGUAAACUCUUCAAGCAACAGUGGAUUGCUUCUCUUUCCCUUGGAACCUAGCUCUCUUAUAUUUGUGAACCUAUUAUCCAUCUUCCUGUUGUAGCUUACAUAGGCCAAUUUAUUUAGUCUCUUGUGCUCCAGUCUGUUUCUCUUUUUUGUAUGGAUCUGCACAUGGACAUACCGACAUAGUGACAUACAUUAUUAGUUUAUUACUCAAUCUGAAAUUCUGAACUCUGAACUGAAGUAUGAACAAACAAAAAAACAGUACUUACUGCUGCAAAAUCACUCCAGUUUCUUUCACAACCAGAUGCUGAGCAACAUAGGCUUAUAAUUCUUUUUGCAAGGCUUUGGAGUUCAUAUGCCAAUUGUCCAUAGGCACCCCACCAUAAGACUGUCAUAUAAAUUUGAGAUUGUUAGAUACUUAGGAUGUCUUUGGUUUGACUUUUGGCUUUGACUUUUGCCCGAUAAAAGCCAAAAGCUAAACCAAAGGGCUGGAUCCAGGAAGCAGUUUUUUGUAAAAGCCGACUUCUUCGCAGUGCAAAACUGAAAGCACCCAUAGACAUGCUUUUAGUGGCUUUCGGAUAGAACUGUGAAAACAUAUAUCGAAGAACUUUUAACGGCUUUUAGUGGUUUUCACCAAACAGUUUCUAGCUUUUUAACAGCUCACAGUAGCUUUUUCCAUAGCUCACAGCCCACAAGAACUUUUUUCACAGCCACAGCCACAACCCAACCAAACAGACCCUUAGAUCAGUAGAAACUAGAAAGCACAUUAACAGACAGAACCAAUUAGAAGGAAGGUUUAACACUUACUAGGAUUUUUUUCUCUCUGUCUCUUAUCGCUCUAGGUUUUGAGAAUGCUUCCCCUUCGGACCUCUCGUAGUCAUCUGCUUGAUUACUUAUUUUAGUUUGUUCUUCCUCAUCACUGAUCAUUUUCCACAUCACAUCAUUGAACAUAGAUCUCAGAAUUCCAGCUUGCUUCUUGUCUUUCUCCCUAAUGGAGAAGAAUUUCCCUGGAUUCAAAAACAGUGCAGCCAUAUUCCUUCCAAGCUUGUUCAUGCUUCGACCUCAAUGUUGUUGCCCUAUCGACAACCCUAUCAAGCCAAGGUACCCUAACAUCAUGGUACGAUGGACCACUGUAUCCAGGACCAAAUUGCCCAAUUGACUCCAACAUAACCUCCCAGCUCCUUGAAUUGACGACGUGCAAUGGUAUUUUGUUCUCAUAUAGAAAAUCUGCGACAUGGUCGUUAACAAUUUGCUUGGCUUCCUUUCCUUUCUUUGUGCAAGCUUCAAGAGUUGACUGAGUGGUUUUAUUUUUAUGCCUGUCAGCAACAACUUCUUCUGGCGUCUUGCAAAACAUGGCAGCCACUGACUUGCCGGACUUUUGGGUGGGAUGAGCUGAAACAACAAAAGAGCUAAUGGUGGCUUGAGUUGCUUUCUUCUUCGCUUGCUUGUGUUUUGUCUCUGAACUUGGUUCAUGUACCUUUUGUUCAGGUUCAGUAGCAUCACCAUCUUUCUGUCCUCCUUCCUCACUUUCAACAGAAAGCACAAGCCUUGUGUUCCUUUUCAAAUAAGCAUACAUAUCAUUCGAAACUACUUCUGGAACCAUUGAACAUUUUGUCGUAUCAGAAAAUCCACCGACAAGGUGCUGUUUGAACCUUUUAAUCCUAGAAGGAACAACUUUCAAACAGAAAAUACAUCGGAUAAAGUCUUUCUUGGUAGGAUCUGGCCACCAUCCAAACUUCCAACCAGGAUCUUGUGAUUUGGCCUUUCUCUUUGAAUCAGUUGCGUGUGCAUGAACUUCAGCAGGCAACUUUGCAAUAACCUUCUCAACGAGUGUUGCAGAAUCCACAAAGGCUGAUGAUGUCGAAGCAAGAUCAUUGUUAUCCGCAACAGAAGAUGGAUUGCCGCUGCCCACAACUUGUGAUUCUGGGAAGAGCACCUCAACAUUAUCCUGACGGCGACGACCAAACUCUGUAUGUAAUGUAUCAAAUGAAUAAGGAAUAGGAUGGACAAUGGAGUACAAGUCUACAGGAAUAGCCGAAUAGGAUGAACUGAUGGAGUACAAGAACAAAAAUUCAGAAGUCCAGAAUGACACAACACAUACAAGGAUGAAGAACAGAACUACACUAAAUAAUACCUCCAAAAGAUGAUCUCAUGCCGGUGAAAUAUCCUGGAUUUCUGGAACCGCGCGUGUCUGGAACCGCGCGUGCGUGUCUAGAUGAGAAAUCUAGGUCGGUGAAGUCUGGAACUUGGAACUGGAACCGCGCAGCGCGCACAGAUGAUCGUCGGUCAGCCGGUGUACUGGUGAAGUAUGGAUUCUAGAAUGAGAAGUCUAGGAGCCGGUAGGAAAAUAGAGAAGAGAAGGAAAGGAAAGAGAUUGAGAUGCCAGGAAAGUAGAGCUAACCGUCGGUUUAGUAGAGAGUAGAGACGACGGCACGACGCUGGCGUUCCAUCUCCGUGUAGCCGGGCCGCCCGCCAAAAAAGCCCACAAAAUCAAAAAAUCUGGAUACUAAACCCUAGUCACGCAGAAUCGUCUAAUCGAGCAACUAAUCGACCCUAAUCGUCGACUAGUCGGACGACCAAGGCGAUUAGGUGCUCCGAUCGAGUCGGUUGUGCUAAUCGAGCUCUACUAACCGACUAGCCCGACUAAUCGCGAUUAGUUGGACGACUUGAAAACAGAGGUAGAAUCAUAAGGUUCUUUGGAGGAAUAUGAUGUGAGAUAUUACAUAUUUGGUGGGUUUUAGGACAGGUUCUUUGUGGAAUGGUUGAAGACAAAGCACUAUUGGAAUAUCUACAAAAAUAAGAUCAGAACUAUGGUGUCCCAUUGUGCAUAUGUCUAUAUUAGGGCUUAUUGCAAAUAGAAUGCAUACAUCAUCUUUUGUGAAGAGAAGGUUCCACUAAUUUAAAGAUCUAGUGCGAGCUAUUUGUAAAGGAGAAGGUUCUUGGUAAUCUAUAUAGUGCUCCAAAAAUUAUGGAUACUAUUGUACAUAACUUGUAUAGAUAUGUUGUUGAUCUUGUUAUAAGAACUAAUUAUAUGUUUGGUUUGAGAUCAAAGUAGGAUUAGGCGGUGGCGACACCGUCCCCUCGAUUUGUUGGGAUCACGCCACCAUCAAAAUUACUCCGGUGUUUACCUCGCCCCCACGUGACUCUCAUCCAAACACUAGAAACUAUGGCCGCCCCCUUCCAUCCCUCCUUAUACAUCCAACCAAACACGUAAUAAGUGUCCAGGACGCUAGGAACAUUGGCUCUGUUUGGAACAGCUUAUUAGUUGGCUUCUCAGUCAAAAAAAGCACAAGCCAUCCCAAACACUUGGCUUCUUGCAGGCUUAUUCUAACCUCACCUUCUCUUGUAUAACUACCCAAUCCCAAUACCGUUUAUUAAAAGGGACUCACGAAUGGAGGCAUGGGAGCAUUUCUAGGGAUGCUUCGCCAAUCUCGUCUUGAUGUGUGUCACGUCGAAGCGCGGAAGUGUCGCGACUCGCGACGGCGUGUUGCCAAAAAAGGAAAAAACACCGCACGGUCGAAGCGCGCAGCGUCACGAGCGCGUGCUGCCAAAAAAGGGAAAAACCUACCGCUCUCCUACCACGAAUAGUUCGCAUGCGAGAACUGCGCUCACGCCGUACCCGGAAGAGCAGGGACACCUCCUCUCUACGGGAUUUGGGCGUUGACGUCGGCGGACCGGCGCGGCGGGGGUGUCCCGUCCGCCAUGCCACACUUGCUCUCCGCCACGCCAUGCAUCUAGCCGUCCACCGCUCCACGUGUCGGGUGAGGUAGGGUUUUGCUCAUAGGUACUCCCUUCAGCCAUGGGAUCUGUCGCGCGCCAAAAAUCUGUGGCGGGUCGUACUUUCAUUUCGGACCGCCCCCUCUCAUAGCGCCUGUGCAGGUCUCCGCCACGUGAUGCUGCCCAUCGGCCGGGGCGCGCGGUGGACGCCCCUCGCCAUCCCUCUGCCGCAGUAGUGCGUUGUACUUUGGCCGCUGUGUACCCAUGUCGUCCUCUAGCUGCUGCCCCACGGAUAAGCCCUUGGACCGUGGGUUUCCUCUUCCCUCCCUCCUAGCUCUACAACCUACCUACCAGGGUGGUUGAUUUUCCCUCCUGGAAACCAUCCACUCGCCCCCUUCAAGCGCAAGGUAUUGUACCGUUCUUUCUCAACUCUGAUUUGUGCACCAAACGCUUGCUACUACACUUGUAGAUCUGCUUAUCAAGUGCUACCUAUGCACCGUUGUAGUGUUGCUCCGCUGCGGCCCUGGCGAUGGCGCAGGCAUGCAAGGCUUGUGUUGCUCUUCCCGUGUGCAACGUUUAAAGGUAGGCUGCUUGCUGUGUUGUGGAUCUCAUGUGCGCUUUGUGGUGUGCGUUCUCUUCUUUGUCCAUGCAAGUUUAAAAAAACUGUAAAUAUGGUUUUAUGUUCGCCUGCUAUUGGUUUUGCCUGAUUCUCAGUUGUCCUAGCAGUGUGCCAGUUUUUGCAAAACAGUUUUUGCCGAAUCAUUUAGAAAUUGGACAUGAAAGCAGCAUGGGCAGUCUCUCCUGUUUCUAAUCUGGUAGGUUUACCAGGUAAUCAGGUUUCUGAACUAGAACACUGAUUUAGUUAGCUAUAGAUCUUCUGUUCUAUGGUCGCGCUGUGUUUUUUUAAAUCUUGUCAGCAAAGUAGUAUCGUUGAACUAAAGUAGAGUUUCCUAACUCCUGCUCCAAAUUACAAAUGCAAUUCUGUUAAUGGAAGGUUUUAAUUAAGAUACUCGUUUUCGAAUCAAACUGCUGCUCAGGUCUCCUGUUCGUCAGCUGAAGAUCAUACUUGCUGUGGAGCUUUUGAUCCCUUCAGAGGGACCAAGGAUUGGAGAGCACAUUUUCGGUUACACGGUCAGUACAUAAUCUAUUUAAAGGUUCAUUUGUCUCACUCUCACCAGUAUUUGUAAUCUGUCUAGCUGUCCUGAUUUAUAUUCGUCAAACUGUGCGAACAUAGUUUUUCAUAAAGACAGUGUUUGUAGCGAUUAAUGGUGUUGUCUGAAUGAACUCAUACAUGCAUUUUCUUCGAUCGUACCAGGAAUCGAAUGUUGCUGGUUAGAUUCAUUUAUGUUUUGUUCGUGCUCAUGGUGUCUUGUAGAAUAGAUAGAGUGUAUGCCUGUGUUCUCUUCGGAAAGUGUAUUUUGGUGCAACAACCCCUAUUUUUUGAACUCAGGUUGAUGCUUCUUUUUUUGAAUGUUCGCUACAUAUAAUGAAUAUGGGUUGGGUUUAGAAGGUGCUAGACAGAGACGGGAACACAGUUUGGGGGACAUACUAACCUGAGGGGGUACUAUUACAGAAUUCACAGAGAUAACUAAUAAACCAGUGGCCCUCUUCAUCAUCUUUCUCUUAUGCCUCCUUUGUCGCUUCUUCAUCCGCUGUGUUCUUUUCGGAAAUAAAGGGUUUAUUGCUCUUUCCACAAUUUACUGCUGUCACACAGUCCCAAUUUCCAUGCCAGCCACCUUUGACAUAAACCUUGUGGUUGAAUUUUUAUCCUGUGCAUUUUUUUGGCAUUUGCUCAAUGCAGCUCUUGUCCUCCCAAAAUUCUUUGUACAUUAAUAUUUGGUUGGACAAAAGGUACACUUCUUUUUCCCAAAAAACAAAUCUGUCAUACGUUAAUGUUUUAGGUCGCCUAUUUCAAUAGCUGGUUAUUAUAUUCUCCAUAAAUAGCAAAUUGAAUUCAGCAUCUUAGUCAGUUUGGCGAUAUAUAUAUAUAUAUAUAUAUAUAUAUAUAUAUAUAUAUAUAUAUAUAUAUAUAUAUAUAUAUAUAUAUAUAUAUAUAUAUAUAUAUAUAUAUAUAUAUAUAUAUAUAUAUAUAUAUCAGUUGGAGUAUUUUGUCAAAUAUCUGAAAUCUGAUAUUCUGAUUGUAAACGAUCUUUAGUAGAGUUGCAGUCAUUAGAGUUAGAGUCGAUUGGUAGCCUUGUAAGUUGAUUCUGGUUUGGUUUGUUUCCUGUGACUUAUGACCAAUGUCAAAAGAAUCAUCGAUCUAAUGGGUACAAUAAUCUAGGCACAGAUAAACCAAUGCCAUCUUCUUCGUGCACCCUCCUGCGGUUUGUCUUCGUUUGGACUUGUUGCUCUUUAAUUCUGCCUUUCCAUGUGUACAUAACAUGUGCAAUCUAUUUUGGUUUCUUCCUGACUGUACUAUCUGACCAGAGUCAAAUUCUUCACUUCAGCUUGUGUAUCUGCAUAUGUUUGAUAUAUGCUUGAUCAUGUUUAGGACAUUAGAACUGCAUGCUUGCUUGUCUUGUAUCAUUGUAUACGACCCUUAAAAUUCUGACUGAAAUGGAUGUUCUUUAAUAAAAACAUAAGCUGUCAAAGUUCCUUCGUAAAGAAUGUGUAAUAAACUAAUAAUGUUAUAUUCAGCCAACUGGAAAGGUUGGUUUUCUGCAAGUAUUCAUAUGUAGGGAUUCAUUUGCCCUUUGAACAUUUUUUUUGGAAGCUUUUGCCUGUUGCAACCUCUUGGUCACCCAGUUACUGAAAUCCAUUUUCAAUUUCCCCUCAAGUUUUGUCCUUUAAAAGUUGUGAUAGUAUAGGUAUUCAGUUAUUCAAAAUAGUAUACGUUUCAACGUAACAAAAGCAUAGCAGCCACACAGUGCACAGCACACCUAUAAUUUGUCAACGACCUACUAACCACAACUAGGGUGACAAUGGGCUCUAAAUUUUACACCAUAAGAUUUAAGGAUAUCAGAUUAGGAUUGGGCCCUAUUUCUAUUUAUUUUUGAACUAAAGUUUAUUUAGUACCCUACCAUUUUGUGAAGAAGCAUUUGGAUCGCGACUCAUUACCACAACAUACCAGUCUAUAGUUCGAGUACCGAUUACCAACAACAGCCUGCAUAGCAAUAUACUAUCGUGCUGACAUGUUUUGGGCAUCGACGUGUUUUUGGCAGCGACAUGUUUUGUGGCAUGAUUUGACAACAAUGCUUUGCGUGACCGAAGUGUUCAGUUUUAGACUCAGUUGUGAAAAACAACUGCUCUGUAGAGAAACUGUUUUUAUCUUCUUAUGAAUCAUAGACUAAUGUCCUUCUUUCAACUUUACUUGUCUUACGAUUUGCAUGACGUUAUCAGCUUAGAAAUCAAUGCUUCAUGGUAUAGCAGUCUGUCAUGUAUAUAGUUUAUUUGGUGCUCAGAAUAUCGCAUAUGUAGCCAGUAUAGGUUCAUUAGCGAGCUUCAUCGCUUCAUUGCACGUCGCUUAUUGAAAUGACUCGUUCAAGCUAGCUGCCAUUUUAUUUUCACGAUUCAACCAGCAACAUAGCUGUUUAUUUUCUGGGCAACUUACAUAAAAGCCUUUUUCGCCUUCCUCAGAUCUAGUGAGGACGCCAUCUAGACACAAAAGAAGGGAUCUUUUUCUUUUGUGCUGCUGGAAAAUAUGCAUUUGAUGCUUGUUUAUCUACUUCUAUCUUCAGUCUUGGUUGACGAAGCUCUGUGCUUUUGCGUAUCUUGCGAUAUUGUAUAGGACAUGUUCGCCUGCUUCUAUCUUAUCCUCAGCGGUUAUGCUUGUCUUGUGUAGCUGGAGCAUCUUGUUGAUCUCCAUGGACUUUGAGCCUUUGGUUGUACUAUUGGGACCCUAACAUAUUGUAUUGUAGCUUGCUUUUGACGACAGCCAGCUAGAAUGCCGAGUAGCUGUGAAACAUAAUCGUUCUGUGUAACAUAUGGAUAGACCGAAUUUUCUUGAACCUUGUAUGAAACCUAUGCUACGAUUCUACUCUGGUAUAUGUAAAUGUGUUAGCAGUUAUGUUUUUUUCCCCUUGCAUUUCAUAUUGCUUGUGACAGCAGGUAAAAGCAACGACGUUGUCUGCGUGUCGAAAUAGGUAUGGUGCAGGAAACAUCUCGCUAUUUAAAAUUGAAUAGCAAGGAAAUUUCUUACACAUGGAUCAUCUCGUGAUCUCUGGUCACUAAAUCAGCCCUAAGUUUUUCGUGCGCCUCCUGUUCUGGUAAGACAAAAGCCCACCCUAAGUUUUUCGUGCGCCUCCUGUUCUGGUAAGACAAAAGCCCACCCUAAGGUGCUUCUCUAGCUUUUCACCCCCUGACGGCUCGCGUGGAGCUGCUCAGGCCCUGAUGCGAUGUCACCAAAUGUGGAUUGUGAAGCCGUGCCAUGCUGGCCCUGCUCUGGCAUCCGUCGUCACCAACGAGAUCCAGCCAUGACAGCAAGAAGCAAAUCCGCCAAACUGUCAACUCUUUUUGUGCUAGGCUUCUCUAUUAAACAGUUGUUGUGGGAAGCAUGGAAGAAGCUGACUUUUCGAUUAAGGGUGUGUUUGGUUUGACUUUUGGCUUUGGCUUUUACCCCCUAAAAACCAAAAGCCAACCAAAGGGAUGGAUCCAGGAAGCAGCUUUUUCUAAAAGCCGACUUUCUCGUAGUGCAAAUCUGAAAGCACCCCUGGACCUGCUUUUAGUGGCUUUUCGGAUGGAACUGUGAAAAUAUAUAUCGAAGAAUUUUUAACGACUUUUAGUGGCUUCCACCAAACGAUUUUUAGCUUUUUAACAGCUUACAGCCUACAACAGCUUUUUCCACAGCUCACAGCCCACAGCAACUUUUUUCACAGCCCAACCAAACAGACCCUAAGCGCUGCUGGAAGAAGCGGUUCCAAAUGCGACCAUUGUCAUGUGACCCACAAAAGACAACAAUGUAUGCCAGUUAGGUGAUGGCUUAGCACACAGGUCUCAUGCAACCGGUAACUAGGAAGUGUUGUACCUAAGGGUGUGCCAACAUGUUAACAAAAUAGAAAUCAUUUGGUAUCAUGUGUGCAUGCAUGGUGUAAUCUUGCAACAUUUAUUUUUAAUGUUGUGGAGCCAUGACAUAUGCUACUAUUAGCUUUAUAUGUAACAUUUCUUGGGAACUCUUGUUCCAUUUCAUCACACCUAUGGCGCAGUCUUUACUAACGCCCCAGC
This 17222-nucleotide long non-coding RNA is filed under the name Zea mays. Its description in RNAcentral is "long non-coding RNA (ZMAY_LNC005648)". The record is from RNAcentral. Lineage: Eukaryota; Viridiplantae; Streptophyta; Magnoliopsida; Poales; Poaceae.